RNAcentral lists this unclassified non-coding RNA (305 nucleotides) under plant metagenome. RNAcentral describes it as "partial contains 5.8S ribosomal RNA, internal transcribed spacer 2, and large subunit ribosomal RNA". The stretch from base 1 to 105 matches the Rfam family "5.8S ribosomal RNA", at positions 50 to 154 of the family's 154-position model. The record is from RNAcentral.
GAAAUGCGAUAAGUAGUGUGAAUUGCAGAAUUCAGUGAAUCAUCGAAUCUUUGAACGCACAUUGCGCCCCUUGGUAUUCCAUGGGGCAUGCCUGUUCGAGCGGCAUUUGUACCUUCAAGCUCUGCUUGGUGUUGGGUGUUUGUCUCGCCUCUGCGCGCAGACUCGCCUCAAAACAAUUGGCAGCCGGCGUAUUGAUUUCGGAGCGCAGUACAUCUCGCGCUUUGCACUCAGAACGACGACGUCCAAAAGUACAUUUUUUACACUCUUGACCUCGGAUCAGGUAGGGAUACCCGCUGAACUUAAGC